RNAcentral lists this ribosomal RNA (253 nucleotides) under uncultured bacterium. Its description in RNAcentral is "partial 16S ribosomal RNA". It matches the Rfam family "Bacterial small subunit ribosomal RNA", at positions 524 to 776 of the family's 1533-position model. The record is from RNAcentral.
UACGUAGGUGGCAAGCGUUGUCCGGAUUUACUGGGCGUAAAGAGCGCGCAGGCGGUCGUGCCAGUCGCGUGUGAAAGCCCCCGGCUCAACUGGGGAGGGUCACGCGAUACUGCUCGACUUGAAGGCAGGAGAGGGAAGCGGAAUUCCCGGUGUAGUGGUGAAAUGCGUAGAUAUCGGGAGGAACACCAGUGGCGAAGGCGGCUUCCUGGCCUGUUCUUGACGCUGAGGCGCGAAAGCUAGGGUAGCAAACGGG